This 271-nucleotide long non-coding RNA is filed under the name Lathyrus oleraceus (garden pea). RNAcentral describes it as "Pisum sativum (pea) long non-coding RNA (PSAT_LNC025688)". Lineage: Eukaryota; Viridiplantae; Streptophyta; Magnoliopsida; Fabales; Fabaceae. The record is from RNAcentral.
AAACUAAAGGAAAUAAAAGAAAGAAAAUAAAACAAUAAUAAGAAAAUAAAAAAUAAAAAAUAUACACAAAAGACAAAAAUAUGCUGAAAAUUGGGGGUGUAGCUAGGAAAAUGCUCUAGACCCAAAGAAGGGAGCCUCACAAGGUGCAUUGAGCAAUUAGGGAGUGUGGGAGAGACUUCAUCUUCCCAAAUCUCAUAUUUGAUUACUAUUUCCGUAGCAACAAAAAUGGAAGAAAAUGAGUUUCAACGAAAACGUAAAAACACCAUAAUUU